This 230-nucleotide long non-coding RNA is filed under the name Astyanax mexicanus (Mexican tetra). RNAcentral's name for it is "lncRNA (ENSAMXG00005003436.1)". Lineage: Eukaryota; Metazoa; Chordata; Actinopteri; Characiformes; Acestrorhamphidae. The record is from RNAcentral.
UAUAUUUAUAUAUAUAUAUAUAUAAUUUUGUUUUAAAUGUGGUUGAUAUAUUUGUGGUGGCAUUUUUGAAACACAAAUUAAUAUUUUUCAAGGUUUUACACUUUAAAAGAAAGUCUUGCUGGUGGGAAAUCCAAUGUGUUAGAGGAAGCAGUUCAUCAUCCAACAACUAUGACAAAUCAAGGCCAGCAACAGAAAACACAGGUGCUCCACUGACUGAUUUACAACCCUGA